Molecule: unclassified non-coding RNA, 425 nt
Filed under: soil metagenome
Description: partial contains 5.8S ribosomal RNA, internal transcribed spacer 2, and large subunit ribosomal RNA
Rfam family: 5.8S ribosomal RNA (bases 1-120)
Source: RNAcentral
GAUGAAGAACGUAGCGAAAUGCGAUAAGUAAUGUGAAUUGCAGAAUUCAGUGAAUCAUCGAAUCUUUGAACGCACCUUGCGCUUCUUGGUAUUCCAAGGAGCAUGCCUGUUUGAGUAUCAUUAAAUUAUCAACUGUGCCAAUUUGGUUACAGAUUGGAUGUGGGAGAUUCUUUUUGCAGGCCUUUGACUUCUCUUUGAGAAAAAAAAUAAAAGGUCGGCUCUCCUGAAAUGUAUUAGCAGUGCCUUUGUUGGUUCAUUAGGUGUGAUAAAUUGUCUACAUCUUCGCAUGAUACCUUCAUUUGUAAAGGUCAUAUUGCUUGUAAAUUGUCUUUGAUUGGACGCAAAACAUAUAUAAUGUUUGACAAACUUGAUCUCAAAUCAGGCAGGACUACCCGCUGAACUUAAGCAUAUCAAUAAGCGGAGGA